CCUACGGGGGGCUGCAGUGAGGAAUAUUGGUCAAUGGACGAGAGUCUGAACCAGCCAAGUAGCGUGAAGGAUGACUGCCCUAUGGGUUGUAAACUUCUUUUAUAUGGGAAUAAAAUGUUCCACGUGUGGGAUUUUGUAUGUACCAUAUGAAUAAGGAUCGGCUAACUCCGUUCCAGCAGCCGCGGUAAUACGGAGGUUCCGAGCGUUAUCCGGAUUUAUUGGGUUUAACGGGAGCGUAGGUGGAUUUGUAAGUCAGUUGUGAAAGUUUGCGGUUCAAACGUAAAAGUGCAGUUGAAACUGGCAGUCUUGAGUACAGUAGAGGUGGGCGGAAUGCGAGGUGUAGCGGUGAAAUGCUUAGAUAUAACGAAGAACUCCGGUUGCGAAGGCAGUUGACUGGACUGCAACUGACGCUGAGGCUCGAAAGUGUGGGUAUCAAACAGGAUUAGAUACCCUUGUAGUC
RNAcentral lists this ribosomal RNA (460 nucleotides) under uncultured bacterium. RNAcentral's name for it is "partial 16S ribosomal RNA". It matches the Rfam family "Bacterial small subunit ribosomal RNA", at positions 338 to 795 of the family's 1533-position model. The record is from RNAcentral.